Setaria italica (foxtail millet) is the source of this 1437-nucleotide RNA transcript. It is a transcript of the gene named cytoplasmic tRNA 2-thiolation protein 1, with no coding region annotated. The transcript is spliced from 10 exons. Lineage: Eukaryota; Viridiplantae; Streptophyta; Magnoliopsida; Poales; Poaceae. The record is from RefSeq and is a predicted model, not a curated record.
AAGCCCAAAACCUGGAGCCCACUUCACUAUUCGCGCCUUUCCCCCAAACUGCCGCACCCUCCCUCCCGCCGGCGCCGCCACUUCGCUGCCGGCCGUUUCCUCGAACCCGUCAGAAAUUCUCCUAACAUGGGCAGCUCCUCCGCUGACGGCGCGAGGCUACCGCCGUCGAGGGCGGGGAGCCGCCUCUGCGUGCGGUGCGGCGAGCGGAAGGCCGCGCUGAAGCGACCCAAAACCCUAGAGCAGAUCUGUAGGGAAUGCUUCUACAUCGUCUUUGAGGACGAAAUUCAUCAAACUAUUGUUGACAACACUCUGUUUAAAGCUGGUGAACGUGUGGCAAUCGGAGCUUCUGGGGGAAAAGAUUCAACUGUGCUUGCAUAUGUGAUAUCGGAGUUAAACCGUCGUCACAACUAUGGUCUUGAUCUGUUCCUUCUAUCAGUCGAUGAAGGAAUCACAGGAUAUAGAGAUGACUCGCUAGAAACUGUUAAAAGGAAUGAAAUACAGUAUGGCCUACCGCUGAAGAUAGUUUCCUAUAAAGAUCUCUAUGGCUGGACAAUGGAUGAUAUUGUGAAAGCAAUUGGUCUGAAAAACAAUUGUACUUUCUGUGGAGUUUUUCGACGUCAGGCACUAGACAGAGGUGCUGCUCUCCUGAAAGCUGAUAAGAUUGUAACUGGCCAUAAUGCAGAUGACAUUGCAGAAACAGUCUUGCUAAACAUUCUGCGUGGUGAUAUUGCAAGGUUAAGUAGAUGUACAUUCAUAACUACUGGUGAAGACGGGCCAAUCCCAAGAUGCAAGCCUUUCAAAUACACCUACGAGAAGGAGAUUGUCAUGUAUGCAUACUUCAAAAAGCUGGACUACUUUUCCACAGAAUGUAAUACCUGGUUCUUUGGACACUCUGUUCUUGUCAUUUCCUCUGCAAUUGAAACAUACCACUUUAUUCCGAUAUCCAAAGAUGUUAGAAUGGCAUCUAUUCACCAAAUGCAUACCGUGGUUUUGCUCGUGAAUUUAUUAAAGAUUUAGAAAGAAUGAGGCCUAGAUCUAUAUUGGACAUCAUAAAAUCUGGUGAAAAUUUUAGAAUCUCCACAACUACACGGAUGCCAGAGCAAGGAACGUGUGAACGCUGUGGCUACAUUUCUAGUCAGAAACUAUGCAAAGCAUGCGUCUUGCUGGAUGGAUUAAAUCGGGGCUUGCCAAAACUAGGCAUUGGAAGGACUAAAGCGGGUCCUGGAGCUGAGAGGAAUACAUCGAGGCUACAAGGGAAGCACGGGAACUUCGACUUCUAGAUCUUAACUGCAAUUUUUCUCAAAAAGGCUGUAAUGAAAUGUAAUGUAAUUUAUAUCGUUGUUUUACUGGUCACUGAUUAUUUGAUCAAUCCGAUUGUUGUGACUAUUCAUUAUUGUCUGACUGCAGCCGUGAACCACAAAAACAGUAGUUCCCUUA